GACCUUGCAUGGCAUCUUUCUGAAAUUCCUCGACCAUCCGAGCUUCUAUAAUACCAUCCAGACUUCUCCGAUAAUGAGCUCCUCCAUUCAGCUAUCAGACUGCUCCAAAUACUUUCUGAGCUUCACUAUCAGUCGAUUUUUUAUAGUAACCAGACUCCAUCCAAGUUUCUACGGUGGUCGACCACCUUUCAAAUUUCAUCCGAGCUCCUACAAGAGCCGGACUCCGUCUGAACUUCUACAGUGGAUGGAUCCCAGACGAACUUCUACGACG
This 271-nucleotide long non-coding RNA is filed under the name Elaeis guineensis (African oil palm). Its description in RNAcentral is "long non-coding RNA (EGUI_LNC066856)". Lineage: Eukaryota; Viridiplantae; Streptophyta; Magnoliopsida; Arecales; Arecaceae. The record is from RNAcentral.